This 1250-nucleotide ribosomal RNA is filed under the name Streptomyces sp. RNAcentral describes it as "bacterial SSU rRNA". It matches the Rfam family "Bacterial small subunit ribosomal RNA", at positions 33 to 1261 of the family's 1533-position model. Lineage: Bacteria; Bacillati; Actinomycetota; Actinomycetes; Kitasatosporales; Streptomycetaceae. The record is from RNAcentral.
GUGCAGGGACUGCGAGACUAUACAUGCAGUCGUGCGGACGAUGAUCGCGGAGCUUGCUCCCUGAUGUUAGCGGCGGACGGGUGAGUAACACGUGGGUAACCUGCCUGUAAGACUGGGAUAACUCCGGGAAACCGGGGCUAAUACCGGAUGGUUGUUUGAACCGCAUGGUUCAAACAUAAAAGGUGGCUUCGGCUACCACUUACAGAUGGACCCGCGGCGCAUUAGCUAGUUGGUGAGGUAACGGCUCACCAAGGCAACGAUGCGUAGCCGACCUGAGAGGGUGAUCGGCCACACUGGGACUGAGACACGGCCCAGACUCCUACGGGAGGCAGCAGUAGGGAAUCUUCCGCAAUGGACGAAAGUCUGACGGAGCAACGCCGCGUGAGUGAUGAAGGUUUUCGGAUCGUAAAGCUCUGUUGUUAGGGAAGAACAAGUACCGUUCGAAUAGGGCGGUACCUUGACGGUACCUAACCAGAAAGCCACGGCUAACUACGUGCCAGCAGCCGCGGUAAUACGUAGGUGGCAAGCGUUGUCCGGAAUUAUUGGGCGUAAAGGGCUCGCAGGCGGUUUCUUAAGUCUGAUGUGAAAGCCCCCGGCUCAACCGGGGAGGGUCAUUGGAAACUGGGGAACUUGAGUGCAGAAGAGGAGAGUGGAAUUCCACGUGUAGCGGUGAAAUGCGUAGAGAUGUGGAGGAACACCAGUGGCGAAGGCGACUCUCUGGUCUGUAACUGACGCUGAGGAGCGAAAGCGUGGGGAGCGAACAGGAUUAGAUACCCUGGUAGUCCACGCCGUAAACGAUGAGUGCUAAGUGUUAGGGGGUUUCCGCCCCUUAGUGCUGCAGCUAACGCAUUAAGCACUCCGCCUGGGGAGUACGGUCGCAAGACUGAAACUCAAAGGAAUUGACGGGGGCCCGCACAAGCGGUGGAGCAUGUGGUUUAAUUCGAAGCAACGCGAAGAACCUUACCAGGUCUUGACAUCCUCUGACAAUCCUAGAGAUAGGACGUCCCCUUCGGGGGCAGAGUGACAGGUGGUGCAUGGUUGUCGUCACCUCGUGUCGUGAGAUGUUGGGUUAAGUCCCGCAACGACCGCAACCCUUGAUCUUAUUUGCCAGCAUUCAGUUGGGCACUCUAAGGUGACUGCCGGUGACAACCGGAAGAAAGGUGGGGAUGACGUCCAAUCAUCAUGCCCCUUAUAAACUGGCGUAACCACGUGGUUACAUUGGAGGAAAGAGAGGCUAACCCAACCCCCGG